GCAUGCUUUUAGAUUUAUCCAAAGGGUUUGACACGAGAGAGAAUACAGUAGACGGCACACGUCAAUGAUUUAUGAUUUAUGACCCUUUGUCAUGGGUCACGUGUGUAUGCCCAUAUAUGGGCAUCCCGGCGGGAAGUUAUCACGGGAGUUCAUAGGGAGUUCCCAUAUAUGGGCAUCCUGUCGUUCCCGUUCUCACACUUUAGAGGGAGUGUUGAUUUAUGCAUAUAUUUAAAUCUGUUCCUUUGAAGCUGUCAUGAUGAUUGAUGUGUAGGGACCUCGUUGAACUGGGGGAUGUGUUUGAACAUUUCAAAGAGUAUGGCCCACACCCUGUUUUAGUGACAUUAGGGCUGUUGUCUAUGAAACAGGAAUGUCCGGGGGUAUUGGUGGGGCAUAAAUAAGCCCCAGAACACCACAAGCGCCCCAGAACACAAAAUAAAUUAAAAAUAAACCCAGAACAUUAAACCGAAAAUUAAACAUGUCUCCUAGGCCAAUUCUGGGUGUACUUUGUGCCUCGUGUCAAGAACCCAAUGACAAAAGCAUCAAGGACAGUUUAUGUGAGGCCCCUGAAUGUUUUAAAGGAGUUUUGGAUAUGAGUGAUGGACAUAUGGCUAACAUAUUCCAACCGGAGUAUUCAACUGUGAAGAUUUUCACAGACAGCGGCCCCAGUCCCCUUUAUCAAGCAAAAUCCGGGAGUUUUUCUCCUGCGCUGCGUAUGAGAGAAUGGCUUAAGAUACGGCGGUUGAUUUGAAAUCCAUAAGAAUCUAUUCAAUGGCGUAUUGCCCCGACUCCAAAGUGACAAUUUUUAGCUUGUGAACAAUAUGAUAAGUUCAAAUGCUACAAAAUCAGUUAGUUCAUAUUUAUUUUCCAAAGCCUGCAAGGAUGUGAACUAUUUUAUGCCUGUCUUUAGCUUUAAGUGGGCCAAUUAUCAUAUAUUUCUGGCCAUGAUGAAAAAGCAGGAAAUCAUUACCAAAAUCGUGAACGAUUACGCCACUGGGCACUUCUAUCCUUAAGACAUACCUAGGGUCUACGUGCACAAUGUUUGAUCUGUCCAUGGAAUGAAAACUUACGGAACGUGGAAGGUGGUUGAUAUCUAGCGAGCAAGAGAGCCUGUCUUGACGACGGUAAAUUGGAAACGGAUGGAUGUCAGGAAAGGAAUAGUGAAAUUGUUUGUACUAAUUAUAGCAUGUUUUAAAAAGUCUGUACUAAAUAUUUAGAAUUAAAUAAAUGGUUUCAAAAUUGCAUCUCACCUUUAACUCCUGGAAUAUCACGCUCCCUCUCUCAGAAAAAAAGGCUUUCAGGAAAGACAGGUGUGUGUGCGUGUGCUUGCGUGUGUGCGUGUGCAGGCAUGUGUGUGUGUUUCAAAAACAAUGGUAUUUUUCGAGGGUGUGUGUCUGCAUGGGGGUGUUUGAAACCAGGUAGGCACUUUCGUGUCAUUAGCACACAAGCCUCUCAAAAUAAAAUGUAUUCCCCCCCCCCUCCAGAGGAUGUGGGGGCUCAAAAGUCAAACCCCACAGCCCCAAUAUAAACGGUCUAGACAUCCCCUAAGGUUUAAAAACAAUGUUAUUUCUAAUCAACACCGGUACUAACAGUUCAUUAUGCAUACCGGGUGUCACCAAAAACAGCAGGUGUUAUAUACCAGGAGGAUGUAGGAAGCAAAAGGCAAUGCCGCCAUCCCUGCAUAUAAUAGGUCUAGACAGCCCCCCCAAGGUUGAAAAACAAUGUUUAUUUCUAAACAACACCGUUACUAUUGGUUCAUUUUUGCAUAGAGGAUGUCGCCUGAAAAACACUAAACUUACCCAUCGCUCUGUAAAUUCAUUCCAUACUUUGUCUCAGUCAGGACACAGAGGCCCAGCUGAAAACUAUUUUCCUGCAUUUUUGCAAGCCUAUACACAUGGAGAAUUUCGAAGAUAUUCUAAAACGGGUGGACAUCGAUUUUUCAGAAUUCCAAACACUCCAAGAACCAUGGCUGUAACCGGUAGUUAUACACCCCCGGGAACCUCAAGCAAAUCGCUCCAUAAUCUAGCAUUUACGACGCAUCACAGUCCUUCACGACUCCGCACAACUGUGGUCCAAGUGCAUUGCGCAGAAUCACCCAGGCCCGAGAAGGGCUACUGGGCUGAAAACGUACGGAUUCAAGAAUAGGAGCUCUAUGGAUAUGACUCCAACGAUACACGCCCGGAAGAAUCUGUAAAGCCAUGUGAAAAUAUUCUAGAACCCCCGGUAUCCAUAAUUCCACAGAACAGCCUGCGUCAAAAAGCAGAGACUCCCCGGCGUAUACCGGCACAGAAGGCCCAACACAUCGAGAGCACGUGUUCGUGGAGGAAUUCGGCGCCCAGGACAUGCACAGUAAAACACUGAAACGGGAUGAUUUCAAUGCUUUAAAUGACAAUUCUGAGCUAGAAAAUUUGCUGUUGUGGCCAGCCACAUUGAUAGAGCCAAUUCUGAGGUAGAAACACCAGAUCCUGAAAUAGAACAAGAUAGGAUUCUCACAGCCUUUUACAGGGCUCUAAAAUCCAGAAAGGUCUUGCUACACAAACGUAUGGUGGCUUUACUCAAGCGGCAAUACAGUCAAGAUUAUCCUUCUGGCAUAGAACAAUGCCCCAUUUGUUAAACAACAAUCUGAUUAAAAAACGCAAAUACAAGCGCUAAAAUCUAUAUGUAAAAUGGAUCCUUCCAGAAUACCACAAGAACACACAUCCUUAAUUAACCAAAUGAUUGAGACCGGGGUGACAGAUCCCAUAAUUCAGACACUUGGAAACCUGUUAUCACAGAUCCCAGAAGAACUCAUAUCCUUAAUUAAUCAAAUGAAUGAGGCAGGGCCAACAGAUGAAAACCUGUUAUCACAGAUCCCCACCGAACUCAUAUCCUUAAUUAACCAAAUGAAUGAGAGCACAAGAUCUUCGACACCAGACCACCCACACACACCUCCUUUAACUCCCAUAUCCAAGGAGUCUGAACCACAAUACAAGGUUUUUGAGGAAUUUGACAAUUGUAGAAUAAAUCAGAGGGGCGAUGGUCUUGAUAGAAGUGUUCGGGUUGUGUUCCCCAAAUAAAUUCAGCAAUACAGAUUCAACAGUUUUUUAAAUUUCACAUAGCUGAAUCAGAACCUUGAUUAUGCAGUUUUUUCUGUGAUGAUAUUGGAUACUCUGAACAAACUGUUAGACAGGGCAACAGAUUUUGCCGAACCUCGCGAUGUCUUACAGCUUGAAAUGUGUGGAGAUAGCAUGCAAAACACUGUAUCUCUUGUUUUACCCAAUGGCACAGCAGAUCUUGAACAAUUUAUAGCCCUUCUGGAACAACUUGUUCAAUCUAAAUAAUCCAUCCUAGCUGAUAGGACCCUCGAGCUCAUAGUACUAAUAGUACAUCAACCCUUAGGUGGAGGGGGUCAGAGAAAGAAACUUGAUAGUCUCAUGCAAUCAGAAAUCAUAAGCAAUAAAAGGGCAUAUCUCAUAAACAUUCAAUGCAGUGGGUCUAGGUAUACAGGAUGCUGUGGCUUUCUCUGACAUCGUCAAAUUUGAAAAAUGUCUGAACAUCAAGAUUGUGGUUUUGUACCACAGUAGAGCUAAUGCAGCUCUCUUGAAAUUCCAGAACAACCCACAACCUCAUCCUCAGAUUCUGUACUUUUAUGUGCAAAACACCCAUUAUUAUGCUAUUACCAACAUCACAGCGUUUUUAGGAGCGCCAUAUGUGUCCAUCAUGUCAUACAGGCUACACCCAAAAGGAGGGCGCUCUUGUCGUUAUAACUGUUCAGUAUGUCUGGAUGAAACAUGUCCGAUGCAACCCUUAAACCUAACACCCUGUGCAGAUUGUCAACGCACAUCGUUCGGGCCUACUGCUACGAUAAACACAAAAUUGAGACAGGGCACCCCAAGGCAUGUAAAUCUGUAAGCAGUUGUGACAUCAACAAGAAAUGUCCAAAAUGCCAUUGCAAUUACAACCUUAAAAUAGACAGCCCAAACCUCAUGUGUAUGGAAUCAUACAUUGCCCAAUCUGUAAAGGGCCUUUGAAAAUCAGAGACGCUGAAAUGGUUCAAGAAGUGCCACACGAGUGUUAUAUUCAGCCCUUGGCUGAAGAUGAACAUUCAGAGAAAUAUGUGUUCUAUGAUUUUGAGACUAAUCAGCAAUCAGGUGUUCAUUUGCCUAUUUUUGUAUCUACCAUGACUUUCAAGGGUGAAAAGUGGUCGGCAGAGGGGCCCAAUUGUGCACUGUACUAUUUCUUAAACACUUCAGAAAACCCCAGUACACAAACUUCACGUUUAUAGCUCACAAUUCUACAGCCUAUGACUCCAAUAUUCUUUUGAACCCUCUGAUAAAACAAGGCGUUGCACCCAGUGUCAUAGCUCAAUGUAGUAAAAUCUUGUGUUUUGUAGACCCCGCCUUCAACCAGAGAUACAUUGACAGUUUAAGUUUCUUACCCAUGAGAUUGGCUCAAAUGCAUGAGGCCUUGGGUUUUGAAAACUCUGUGAAAGGGUGGUUUCCUCAUUUCUUCACAUCUGAGGAGAAUCUACAUUAUAUUGGAUCUUAUCCUAGCCUGGAAAUGUACAGGUGGAAUCAAAUGUCUCCCAAAGAGCGAGAGAGAUUGAUGACAUGGUAUGAGACAGUAUGUCAUUGCACCUUUGAUUUCCACAAAGAGAUGGAGUCAUACUGUGACAACGAUGUGGUUAUACUUCGUGAAGGAUGCUUCAGAUUCAGAGAAGAGGUAAUCAAAGAUGCCGGCAUUGACCCCUGGAGUUGUACAACUAUUGCAUUGACCCCUGGAGUUGUACAACUAUUGAAUUGGUGUGAAAACCUAUCGUACACACUUUUUACCUGCAGCAUCUAUAGCUAUUCCAUCGCCGGACAACUACCGACGCCAAUUCAAGUCAUACUCUAGUGGGUCCAUUCAAUGGUUGGAGUACUUGGCCCAACAUGCUUUGAAUAGGUGUGAGAAGGCAUUUGGGGCUUAUCACGUAGAUGGAUAGACACAGAUUGACGGUGUUGAGACCGUGUUUGAGUACAAUGAUUGGUUCUUCCACGGUUGUAAAUCUUGCUUUGUGCCCCAGGCCAUGUGUGUCCUAACCCAAAAUACUUUGGGGAAAAUGUUCCAAGAGUUCCAAGACAAAUUGGAAUCUUUACAGGCCACUUACGGGUUAAAAGUGAAUGUGAUGUGGGAGCAUGUAUGGAUUGCACUCAAAAAGUCUGAUCCUCAUGUUCAAGCUUUCCUUUCCAGCUUUAACACACCAGAACCCUCGGAACCAUGACAGGCCUUGUAUGUAGGCUGUACCAAUGCUUUGACAUUGCGGUAUGUAGUGCAACCCAACGAGACAAUAGGAUAUGUAGAUUAUACAUCCCUUUAUCUUCAUGUAAUGAGUUCCUCAUGCUAUCCUAUGGGGUAUCCUAAAAUUAUUCACCGCGACUUUGACUUACCCCAAAACUAUUUUGGUCUGAUCAAAGCAACUGUCUACCCUCCUAGGGGUUUGUUUAUACAAGUAUUGCCUUACAGGGACCUCAAGGAAAACUGUUCUUUCCCCUUUGACGCACCUGCAGUGAAAACAACAACCAGGAAAAGCCUUGUGAUCACUCAGAUCAAGAAGGAGCCCUGACAGGUGUAUGGGUCAUAGUUGAAUUCUCUAAGGCUCUAGAGAUGGGGUAUUGCGUGGCCAAAAUCUUUGAAGUGUGGAACUUUUCCAGGAAAUCAGACACUCUUUUUAAAGAGUACAUCAAGAUCUUCUUGAGAUGCAAGCAAAUGGCUUCAGGCUAUCCUGCAUCGGUCACAGAUCAAGAGAGCAAAGACAAGUAUAUUCAAGACUAUCACGACAGAGAAGGCAUACUUCUUGACCCAGACAGAUUAGAGGUCAACAAAACAAAAAGAAACGUGUCGAAAUUGUACUUAAACUCUCUUUGGGGGAAGCUUUCCCAGAAAAGCAAUAUGCUAACAACGUAGAUCAUUAAAGACCCCAAAGACUUUUGGAAUAUGUUUUUUUCGUACCAAUACGAAAUUUUAAAAUGAUCAUUCUUGAGUCAAGACAUUGCCCUGGUGCAAUGGAGACGUAACAAGAAGUGGGUUCUACCCCCGGGUAAUGUAAAUGUGUUUCUUGCAGCAUUUACCACGGCAUAUGGCCGACUUGAACUGUACGCCCUCAUGGAGCAGCUUCAGAGGCGGGUUCUUUACCACGACACAGACUCUGUGGUCUAUGUAAGCAAACAAGGUGAUUGGAACCCCCCGCUUAGCAACUAUUUGGGUGGUUUAACCUCUCUGGGAUAUGUGAGAUGCUAGCGUCCCACCUGGCCAAAAGCCAGUGAAAAUGCAGAGCGCCAAAUUCAAAUAAAUUAUUAUAAAAAUCUAACU
Long non-coding RNA from Oncorhynchus tshawytscha (Chinook salmon), 6327 nucleotides. RefSeq lists it as uncharacterized. The record is from RefSeq and is a predicted model, not a curated record. The transcript has 5 exons. Lineage: Eukaryota; Metazoa; Chordata; Actinopteri; Salmoniformes; Salmonidae.